RNAcentral lists this transfer RNA (69 nucleotides) under Latona dysoni. Its description in RNAcentral is "tRNA-Ile". The record is from RNAcentral. Lineage: Eukaryota; Metazoa; Arthropoda; Branchiopoda; Diplostraca; Sididae.
GGCACUGUGCCGGAUAAUCGGAUUACCUUGAUGUGGUAAAACAUGUAGGUGAAAUUCCUUCUGGUGUCA